CCUACGGGAGGCAGCAGUAGGGAAUAUUGCUCAAUGGGCGAAACCCUGAAGCAGCAACGCCGCGUGGGGGAUGAAGGUUUUCGGAUUGUAAACUCCUUUUGUUAGGGAAGAUAAUGACGGUAUCUAACGAAUAAGCACCGGCUAACGCCGUGCCAGCAGCCGCGGUAAUACGGAGGGUGCCAGCGUUACUCGGAAUCACUGGGCGUAAAGAGCGCGUAGGCGGGAUAGCAAGUCAGAUGUGAAAUCCUAUGGCUUAACCAUCGAACUGCAUUUGAAACUGGUAUUCUAGAGUAUGGGAGAGGUAGGUGGAAUUCUUGGUGUAGGGGUAAAAUGCGUAGAGAUCAAGAGGAAUACUCAUUGCGAAGGCGACCUGCUAGAACAUAACUGACGCUGAUGCGCGAAAGCGUGGGGAGCAAACAGGAUUAGAUACCCUAGUAGUC
This 440-nucleotide ribosomal RNA is filed under the name uncultured bacterium. RNAcentral's name for it is "partial 16S ribosomal RNA". It matches the Rfam family "Bacterial small subunit ribosomal RNA", at positions 338 to 795 of the family's 1533-position model. The record is from RNAcentral.